This 5019-nucleotide long non-coding RNA is filed under the name Nicotiana tabacum (common tobacco). Its description in RNAcentral is "long non-coding RNA (NTAB_LNC001695)". Lineage: Eukaryota; Viridiplantae; Streptophyta; Magnoliopsida; Solanales; Solanaceae. The record is from RNAcentral.
UUCGCUUGUCCUGCCUCCCCCCCCCCCUCCCCCCUUUCUUUACUCUUAUCUUUCUUUGACCUCCUCUCUAAACCCUAUUACCGAUUGAUGCAACAUUUGCUGCCACCCCUUUUUUCCUUUCUUCUCUCUCUGCCAGUUAAACUUAGACCACAUCUCAAAGUUUUCCGCUGACCCUUUUUCUCUUUUCUCUCAUCUCUUAUCCAGAACCCCCCUAGAAAACUAACACCAUACUGUGUUAUCUCGUCUGUCACUACCACCACCCUCAUCAUGACCCAGAAAUUAGACUCUCCAAAAUUAUUAUGCCGCCUCAACCCCACGUGCAAAAUCCUAUCUCCCUUGUACCGAAACACUUGAGUAUCUUGACUCGGAUUCAAUAUCUAUGAUGAAGAUCCGAUGGUUAAAGCUUCAAUCCAAAAGUCUCUUGUCAAAUCGUGAGCAAAAUCAGAUGAUUUUGCCACAACGGCUAUUUUUCCCUCACAUGGUCUCUGAAAGAUAAGAUUUUAACUUUGUCCUUUUUGAUCCCAUCAUGUUUUUACUCAUUUUAUCAUCACUUUGUUCACAAUUUUUACUUCAAAUCAGAAGCUGGCAAAGCCAUAAAUUCUGCUAUAAAUACCAGACUUUAAGGCUUCAACAAUCAUAAUUCACCUAAUUUUACUCAUUGAAAGUCUCAUAAGUUCUUGUUCAAUUUCCGCUACUCACUCUUUUUUCUAUCCUUCUUGCUGUUGUAGCUGAGUUCGAGUUUGGAAUUGUUUUCAGAGAUGAGUCCUGGAUGACCGACUUUAGCCUCAGUUUGCUUCUCAACAAAAGGUCAAUGACCCUGCCUUCACCAUCUCUUCUUUUAAGCUAUAAAAGCUGAACGUAUAUUAGUUGCUAUAAUGGCUCGUUUGGUUUAUGCUUUUAAAAGGCUGAAAAAUAUCCUCAAAUGUUCUUUUAAAUGGCUCAUGUGUUAGAAAGUUUUACCUUUCAUUCAGGUUUAGAUAUCUUGUAAUGACCCAACAGGUCAUUUUGAGCUCUAGCGCGUCGUUCGGCAGUUUGAGGCCAUGAGCAAUUUCACUUCAGGUAUUAUGACUUGUACGCGUGGUCGGGAUUGGAUUUCGGGAGUUUGGAGUUGAAUUGAAAAGAAAAUUCUCAUUUUGAAAGCUUUAAGUUGGAAGAAUUGACUAAAUUGGAUUUUAGAGUAAAUGACCUCGAAGGUUCCAGCAGGUUCGUAUGAUGAUUUUUGACUUGGGCGUAUAUUCGGAUAAGGUUUUGGAUGCCCCGGGAGCGUUUCAGCACCUAUUGUGGAAGUUAGCAUUUUGGAAUAAUUCCAUAAAAUUGGGUUGAAGUGAAUUUCAAUGUUAUCGAUGUCUGUUUUGAAUUCCAAGUCUGAGAAUAGCUCCGUAUGAUGAUUCUGGUAUUGGGAGCGCAUCCGAAAGUGGAUUUGGAGGUCCGUAGGUCAUUUUGGAGUCGUUUGGCGAAAGUUAGAAAUUUGAAAGUUUUUGAGAAGUUUGACCGGAAGUGAACCUUUUGAUAUCGGGGUCGGAAUCUGAUUCCAGAAGUGGGAGUAGGUCCGUAAGUCAAAUGUGACUUGUGUACAAAAGUUUGAGGGCAAUCGGGCGUGAUUUGAUAGGUUUCGACAUCGAAUGAGGAAGUUUGAAGUUCUAAAGUUCAUAAAGCUUGAAUUGGAGUGCGAUUCAUGAUUUUAGCGUUGUUUGAUGUAAUUUGAAGGCUCGACUAUGUUCGUGAUGUAUUUUGGGACGUGUUGGUAUAAUUGGUUGAGGUCCCGAGGGCCUCGGGUGGAUUUUGGAUAGUUAACGGAUUGGAAUUUGGACUUGGGCAAUGACUGAAGCAUCAAAUUUGCUGGUGUCUGGUUUUCUUCUACGUGUUCGCGAAGGAAUUCCCGCAUUCCCGUAGAGGAAGUUGAGGGCUGCUGGGAUUUACCCUUUGCGUUCGCGAAGAAGGAAUCGCGUUCGCGAAGGGUUACUAUGAGGCAUGGGAGGUUGUACUUCGCGUAAAAAGGAUCGCGUUCGCGAAGGUCUGGCCCGGUGUGCUUCGCAUUCGCGGGAGGAACGUUCGUGUAAGAGAAAUACUUGGCCCUUUUCAUUUCAUUUUCAUCCUUGGGAGCCGGUAUUGGAGCAAUUUUGGAGCUCCAUCUUCAUCAUCUACAUCAAGGUAAGUGAUUCCCACCUAUUGCAAGCUAAAUACAAGGUUUAUAUACGGAUUUAGAUAUGAAAACUAGUAGAAAGUUGAGAUUUUGAAGAAAGACCUAGAACAUGGUAUUUUUAGAUUUUUACCACGAAAUUUGGAUAUGGAAUUGGGAAUAAAUUAUAUAUUUGAGUUCGUGAGGUUAUGGGUAAACUUUAUCUUAGAAUAUUUUCGAAAUCCGGGCACGUGGGCCCGAGGGUGAUUUUAUCGACUUUUUAAACGGAAUUGCAAUUUGUUAUAAAUUGGAUUAUAAGGAGUAUUAGAGUAUAUAUUCAUGGACCUUUAUUUACUAGUUUUGGAGCAUGGAGCAUCGGUUCGAGUUAUUGAAAAGGCCUGGGAGCCGGAGAAGGAACUUCGGAGUGAGGUAAGUCUCAUUUCUAACCGUGUAAGAGGGAAUUUAUCCCAUAGGUGAAAUAAUUCAAUAUGUGCUUCUACUUGUUGGGGGGGGGGGGGAGGGGGAGGGGUACGUUCGUACGAUGUGAUGAGAGUCCGUACGUAGAUAUUAUUAUGCUUAUAUCCGGGUAGUCUAGGACCCAAAUUGCGUUAUAUUUGUGAUGCUUGCAUCCUACUUGUUAAUUUAACCGUUUAAAAGAUGUUGGAACUUGAUAAAAGAAUUUCAAAAGGUUAAACUUCACCUACUUGGAUUUCGGACGGGUCAUUUGACCGUUAAUGAGAAUUGAUAUUUCUUUGAAUAUCAAACCUAAAUAAAUCCUUAAUUUGGUGGUGUGAAUGUGUUUAUCUUUUGUGGAACAGGCCGAACGCCUCGACAGAUUAAAUAGAUGUAUCUGUGGUUUGCGCCAUUCGACCCUCUGGCAGUGCACAGUUUAAAUAUUUAUUGGAUCGGCCCGUACGACCUCGGAAUGAUUUGCGCAUGACUUAAUUGAUUGUUUGGAAUUAUUUAUAAUUGAUAUGGCCUCAUUGACCGGAGAUAUAAAUUGUUAAAAGAUGAAAAUAAAUUUGAAAAUCUCCUAUUAACAAGAGAAUUAUUUACCUGCCUCAUGUUAUUGUGUUUACCGUUGGCUCAUUAAAUCCAUAAUUUAUCAAAUCAUCGGUAUAUUAUUUAUAGCCCAUAGUAAGUGUCCGAGUCGACCCCUCGUCACUACUUCUUUGAGGUUAGGCGGGAUACUUACUGGGUACGCGUUGAUUUACGUACUAUGCUACACUUGAUGCAUAUUUUUGUGCAGGUACACAUAUGUUUAGCUGCCUUGUGGGCGCAUAGGCGCUAUUAUGACGGGGACUUAGGUGAGCUGCAUUCUAUACGAUGCUCCGCAGCCAACAGAGUCUCCUUCGAAGUACUUAUAUUUUUUCUGUCCAAUUUGUAUUCCGGAAAGCUGUUGUAUUUUAUUUUACAUUCUUAGUAAAUGCUCAUGCACUUGUGACACCGGAUUUUGGGAUGAUUAUGGGUUGCAAUGUAUUGGAAAUUUUUAAAGAUAUUGUUACGUAUUUUGUAAACUCCGUCUUCUGCUAUUUAAUUGAAAGGAACAACUAUGAUUUCAAAAAUAUUAAAAUGAGAAUUUACUAAUUAUUGGUGUUGGCUUGCCUGACAGUAGUGUCCGGCGCCAUCACGACCUGGUCGUGACAUAUCUUAUUUUAGGAAUAUAAAUAUUGACUCGCUAACUUUAAUAUGAACAUACGAGGUGGUCGCUAGAUUCUGUUUAGUUGACAAAUAUUCUUCGUUGUUAAAAAUCAUGAUAUUGGCUUCGAGUAGAUACCAUACCUAUAGAACCUAAAAUAUUGAGAUAUGGAUUGUUCACUAGUUGCAUGAACACGUGUGAUUUUUCUGACUUGUUUGAAUUAGUUUUGGUAUGAAUUCAUAUUUGAAGUCAAGUGUUAUAAACUGUACGUGUUAGAGUCCAGGCUUUCUUGUUUAAAUCUCUAUGUCAAGUGCAUAUGAACUAGCUGGUAAUCUAACUAAAAGCCUUGAGUUUGUUUUUUUUGCUUCAUGUAUUAUUUGAGAAGAGAUUAUGGCAUUAAGUCAGUAUAUGUUUGUCACUAAAGUUGUAAAAAUAUCGCCUAUAAUUUUUUUUCUUGAAUAUUAGAAAUUUUGACCUUAGUAUAAACAUUCUUUUCUAAGAUGAAGAAUUUGGGGAGUAGUUGAUAAACAUGUUUAAGGAAGGAUCAUUUUGAUAUGGACCUAAGCAUGCAAUGUUAAAUUGGUUAUAGGCAUAGAAGGUCAUAUCAUUUCGUGAAAUUCCUUUCAUGCCUUUUGUUUGCAUCUCUUUGUUUGAAUAUGUAAAAGUUUGAUGAAGAUCUUAGAGAUUACAUAUAUAAGAAUACGUUUCUUCAUUAGUUAUAGCAAAACUGUUAACUUAUCUUGACAUAAUGUAAUGGGCCGACCGACCAUUUUGAGCUUUAGCAUUCUGUUCAGCGUUUGAUACCUUGAGUAGCUUCAUAUAAUAUAUUACGAUGUAACGAUCCAAUCAGUUGUUUUAAGCAUUUGGGUUCUAUUCAGUUGUCUGAAGUCUUGAGUAGCUUCAUAUGAUGUAUUAUGACUUGUGUGAAUCAUUGGUUUUGGUUUUCAGUAGAUUUGGGAUUGAUUUGGAAGAAUGAUGCUCGAUUAGGCAGCUUUAAGUUGGAAGAGUUGACCAAGUUUGACUUUGGUUUAUUUGACAACAUAUCAUAGUUUUGAUAGUUUUGUUAGGUCCUGAUAGUGAUUUUGGACUAAGGCGUAUGCCGGAAUUUAUAUUUGGAUGUUUCUAGACGGUUUCAGCACUAUUUGGCAAACGUUGGAAAUUUAAAGAUUUGAAAUAUUCAUAAGUUUGACCGAGAGUUGGCUUUGAUAAUAUCAAGUUCGAAUUUUUGUUUCGGGAGUGGGAAUAGGUUCGUUAUGUCAUU